Cinara cedri is the source of this 212-nucleotide non-coding RNA. The record is from the annotation of a GenBank genome assembly. NCBI's taxonomy places the organism in Eukaryota, Metazoa, Arthropoda, Insecta, Hemiptera, Aphididae.
GAUGUAGUCAUACUGCAGCGAAAACACGCGUGUCGCAUAUUCUAUGAACGUAUAAUUAAUUGAUCAGUUUUUUAAUUGUCAGUUUUAAUCAUUAAUAAUAAUGAAACCAAACAAAAAAAACAACUGUCUGAUAUUUCAGUCCGAUCGUUUUUCAUAUGCGAAAAUUGGAGUACAUGGUGCAGUACGUCAUAAAAAAUUUAAAAAAAUUAAAU